Molecule: ribosomal RNA, 497 nt
Filed under: uncultured bacterium
Lineage: Bacteria
Description: partial 16S ribosomal RNA
Rfam family: Bacterial small subunit ribosomal RNA
Source: RNAcentral
GAUGAACGCUGGCGGCGUGCCUAAUACAUGCAAGUCGAGCGAACGGACGAGAAGCUUGCUUCUCUGAUGUUAGAGGCGGACGGGAGAGAAACAAGUGGAUAACCUACCUAUAAGACAGGGAUAAAUUCGGGAAACAGGAGCUAAUACCGGAUGAUAUUUUGAACCGCAUGGUUCAAAAGAGAAAGACGGUCUUGCUGUCACUUAUAGAUGGAUCCGCGCUGCAUUAGCUAGUUGGUAAGGUAACGGCUUACCAAGGCAACGAUGCAUAGCCGACCUGAGAGGGUGAUCAGCCACACUGGAACUGAGACACGGUCCAGACUCCUACGGGAGGCAGCAGUAGGGAAUCUUCCGCAAUGGGCGAAAGCCUGACGGAGCAACGCCGCGUGAGUGAUGAAGGUCUUCGGAUCGUAAAACUCUGUUAGUAGGGAAGAACCUAUGUGUAAGUAACUGUGCACAUCUUGACGGUACCUAAUCAGAAAGCCCCGGCUAACUACGUG